AGCACAGGAGAGCUUGCUCUCUGGGUGGCGAGUGGCGGACGGGUGAGGAAUACAUCGGAAUCUACUUUUUCGUGGGGGAUAACGUAGGGAAACUUACGCUAAUACCGCAUACGACCUACGGGUGAAAGCAGGGGAUCUUCGGACCUUGCGCGAUUGAAUGAGCCGAUGUCGGAUUAGCUAGUUGGCGGGGUAAAGGCCCACCAAGGCGACGAUCCGUAGCUGGUCUGAGAGGAUGAUCAGCCACACUGGAACUGAGACACGGUCCAGACUCC
This 272-nucleotide ribosomal RNA is filed under the name unidentified marine bacterioplankton. RNAcentral describes it as "partial 16S ribosomal RNA". It matches the Rfam family "Bacterial small subunit ribosomal RNA", at positions 68 to 339 of the family's 1533-position model. RNAcentral also lists the same sequence under 1 other name. The record is from RNAcentral.